CGGAGGGUGCGAGCGUUGUCCGGAAUCAUUGGGCGUAAAGGGCGCGUAGGUGGCCCGGUCAGUCUUUGGUGAAAGCGCGGGGCUCAACCCUGCGUCGGCCAGGGAUACUGCCGCGGCUCGAGCACUGUAGAGGCAGGCGGAAUUCCGGGUGUAGCGGUGGAAUGCGUAGAGAUCCGGAAGAACACCGGUGGCGAAGGCGGCCUGCUGGGCAGUUUUGCUGACACUGAGGCGCGACAGCGUGGGGAGCAAACAGGAUUAGAUACCCUGGUAGUCCACGCCGUAAACGAUGGGCACUAGGCGCUUGGGGGAGCGACCCCCGGGGGCCGGCGCUAACGCAUUAAGUGCCCCGCCUGGGGAGUACGGCCGCAAGGCUG
RNAcentral lists this ribosomal RNA (374 nucleotides) under uncultured organism. RNAcentral describes it as "bacterial SSU rRNA". It matches the Rfam family "Bacterial small subunit ribosomal RNA", at positions 526 to 896 of the family's 1533-position model. The record is from RNAcentral.